UUGUAAACCAUAAAGAUGAGGAAGGAGUCCAUGGAAAUGUAAAAUGAAUACAGAAUAUUCUGUGUUCUGUUCAUAUUCCUUUUCUAGCAUUUAUUAAAUUGUCCAUAUCUAUGGCACAUUAGUGUCUCUGUCCUACUAACCUGAACUCACUGAGGCUAAGUCAUAAUCAUCCCCAUUUACAGUGAAUUUGGUCCAUUGUAAAGGAAGAAUGUAAAACUAAAUGACAAGCUUGCUAGUAGCAUACCUUGAGGUGAAAGUUUUGUUAAUGCAUGUUUUUCUGAAGAACUACGAAAACCAUAGAAACAUGUAUAUAGAAGCUGGUUUUAAAAAUCACUUUUCUCAUUAUCCUCUG
Molecule: long non-coding RNA, 352 nt
Filed under: Bos taurus (domestic cattle)
Lineage: Eukaryota; Metazoa; Chordata; Mammalia; Artiodactyla; Bovidae
Description: long non-coding RNA NONBTAT025761
Source: RNAcentral